Non-coding RNA from Geobacillus sp. B4113_201601, 103 nucleotides. NCBI's taxonomy places the organism in Bacteria, Bacillati, Bacillota, Bacilli, Caryophanales, Anoxybacillaceae. The record is from Rfam.
UUCUUAUCAAGAGAGGGGGAGGGACUGGCCCGGUGAACCCUCAGCAACCUGGCGGGCGGCCAAGGUGCUAAAUCCAGACAGGCAGCAGCCUGGAAGAUAAGAA